Molecule: long non-coding RNA, 488 nt
Filed under: Salmo salar (Atlantic salmon)
Lineage: Eukaryota; Metazoa; Chordata; Actinopteri; Salmoniformes; Salmonidae
Description: lncRNA (ENSSSAG00000115746.1, ENSSSAG00020077247.1)
Source: RNAcentral
AAAUGAUGUGUGUGGUAACUGCUUAAGGUGUGAAUGCAUGUGGGAGCAGGAGGGAAGGAAAGCAAAUAUGGUGGUGGUGGACUGAAUGGAUUCUUUGGAAAUGGAGGAUACAAAGGUUAAGUCAAUCAGCUGAGGCCUUCUUCAAGUGAAUAUUUGUUCCGUUCCAUCAUGUGUUCAUUGUGAUGUUUGUUGUUUGGUCUGUUGUUACAUUUAGCUAUUCCAUUUUUGUUCUUAUUUGUCUGUUUUUUUGUUCAUGGUCCUUGUCUUUUGUAUUGUUGUGUGUCUGUCCCCUCUCUUCCUCUACUGUGUUUGGAGAUUGUGUUGCCAGUGUGUUUGUGUUCAUAUCCAUUUCACACUAAAGGUCAGAAAGCAACCGUAUAAUGUCUGUCAGUCUCCUCAUUCUUUUAACCUUGGCAACAGUAUGGUAAAUGUACUGUACAUGUGAUGUGGGGGUUGAGUUUUAAGACUGAAGCUCUAUGAGUUUAAAU